RNAcentral lists this ribosomal RNA (1965 nucleotides) under human gut metagenome. Its description in RNAcentral is "bacterial LSU rRNA". It matches the Rfam family "Bacterial large subunit ribosomal RNA", at positions 1 to 1977 of the family's 2925-position model. The record is from RNAcentral.
GAAAGUAAAAAAGGGCGCAUGGCGGAUGCCUUGGCUCUCGGAGGCGAUGAAGGACGUGAUAAGCUGCGAUAAGCUUUGGGGAGGUGCAAAUGACCUUUGAUCCAGAGAUUUCCGAAUGGGACAACCCAAUAUCUUGAAGAGGUAUUAUCUUACUAUGUAAGAGGCUAACGCAGGGAACUGAAACAUCUUAGUACCUGCAGGAAAAGAAAAUAAACAAUGAUUCCCCCAGUAGUGGCGAGCGAACGGGGAACAGCCCAAACCAUCCAUGUUACGGCAUGGGUGGGGUUGUAGGACUACGCCGUUGCAUGAAGACAUCAGAGAAGAACUUUCUGGAAAGAAAGACCAUAGAGCAUGACAGUUGCGUAUUCGAAUGUUGUCGAAGCAUAGUAGUAUCCUGAGUAGCGCGGAGCACGAGGAAUUCUGCGUGAAUCUGCCGGGACCAUCCGGUAAGGCUAAAUACUCCCGAGAGACCGAUAGCGAACCAGUACCGUGAGGGAAAGGUGAAAAGCACUUCGAACAGAAGAGUGAAAUAGUUCCUGAAACCGUGCGCCUACAAGCGGUCGGAGCUCGUUAAUGAGUGACGGCGUGCCUUUUGCAUAAUGAACCUACGAGUUGCCUUUGCCGGCAAGGUUAAGUGUGACGACACACGUAUCCGAAGCGAAAGCGAGUCUGAAGAGGGCGUAUAGUCGGCAGUGGCAGACGCGAAACCAAGUGAUCUACCCUUGGCCAGGUUGAAGGCUGGGUAACACCAGCUGGAGGACCGCACCAAUAAGCGUUGAAAAGCUUCUGGAUGAGCUGAGGGUAGGGGUGAAAGGCUAAUCAAACUUGGAGAUAGCUCGUACUCCCCGAAAUGCAUUUAGGUGCAGCCUUGCGGGUUACUGAUGUGAGGUAGAGCGACUGAUAAGAUGCGAGGGCUUCACCGCCUAUCAAGUCUUGACAAACUCCGAAUGCGCAUCAGUUCUACCGCAGGAGUGAGGGCAUGGGUGCUAAGGUCCGUGCCCGAGAGGAGAAGAAUCCGGACCACCUGCUAAGGUCCCGAAAUGACAGCUAAGUUAAACUAACGAAGUCUGACUGCUAAGACAGCUAGGAUGUUGGCUUGGAAGCAGCCAUUCAUUUAAAGAGUGCGUAACAGCUCACUAGUCGAGGAGUCGGGCGUGGAUAAUAAUCGGGUAUCAAGUUGUCUACCGAAGCAGUGGGAUCAUUUAUAUGAUCGGUAGGGGAGCAUUCCAGUCAGCGUCGAAGGCGUACCGUGAGGUAUUCUGGAGCGUCUGGAAAAGCAAAUGUAGGUAUAAGUAACGAUAAAGGGGGCGGGAAACCCCCUCGCCGAAAGACUAAGGUUUCCUGAUCAACGCUAAUCGGAUCAGGGUCAGUCGGGUCCUAAGGCUCAGCCGAACGGCGAUGCCGAUGGCAGAAACGGUUAAUAUUCCGUUACUACCUUCAGGAGUGACGUGGAGACGCAGUAGUGACAGUGCCGCCAUCUGACGGAAUAGAUGGUUGAAGGGUGUAGGAGUCGAUCAUGGCAGGCAAAUCCACCAUGAGAUCCGAACCUGAUAGUAUGCCGCGUCCUUCGGGACAAGGCAAUAGUGCGCGUAAGCAUGCUGCCGAGAAAAUCCGCUAAACUUAAUCCUGUAGGUACCCGUACCGCAAACGGACACACGUAGUCGGGAUGAAUAUUCUAAGGCGCUUGAGUGAUUCACGGUUAAGGAACUAGGCAAACUGACCCUGUAACUUCGGGAUAAAGGGUCCCUACCCUUUUAUGGGAGGGCGCAGAGAAUCGGUCCAGGCAACUGUUUAACAAAAACACAGGGCUGUGCAAAAUUGAAAGAUGAAGUAUACAGCCUGACACCUGCCCGGUGCUGGAAGGUUAAGAGGAGAUGUCAUCGCAAGAGAAGCAUUGAAUUGAAGCCCCAGUAAACGGCGGCCGUAACUAUAACGGUCCUAAGGUAGCGAAAUUCCUUGUCGGGU